GCAAAUUGUAAUUUUAAACUUUUGGCAUCAAAAUAGUCAAUGUCACAUUGGAAAAAUUAAUCUGUUGAACCUUACAUGGGAUAGAUCAUGCUAAUAAAGCAUAAGGAGUAAACCACUGCUCCUAUUAAGCAGGUACUUAACCACCACUGACAUCAAAGCCAGUUCAACAAUAUACAACUUCACUGAUGGCAAAAGUUUAAAAUUACAAUUUGCACACUUCUGAGUUAAAUAAAAAGAACAAGAAAAAUAUACAGUUCUGUAACUAAUAUAGACUCACACACAGAUUCCUCCUUCAAUGUCCCAUGUGCCAUUUGAAUUUGC
Molecule: unclassified non-coding RNA, 321 nt
Filed under: Hevea brasiliensis (rubber tree)
Lineage: Eukaryota; Viridiplantae; Streptophyta; Magnoliopsida; Malpighiales; Euphorbiaceae
Source: RNAcentral